Long non-coding RNA from Lathyrus oleraceus (garden pea), 1885 nucleotides. RefSeq lists it as uncharacterized. The transcript is spliced from 4 exons. NCBI's taxonomy places the organism in Eukaryota, Viridiplantae, Streptophyta, Magnoliopsida, Fabales, Fabaceae. The record is from RefSeq and is a predicted model, not a curated record.
UUAGCACUCAUGUGAAGCAACAUUGAGGGAUUCCGAUUGAAUUUCAAACCAAACCUACACACCAACCAUUCAACAUACCUCAUCCAUCUCCGCCAGGUCAGAAAUUGCCUCCGGCGGCAACGGAGCUCAUAUCUUCCCCCUAAACACAUCACCAGAACUAGAUUUCCAUCCUUAGCCUCGAAAACAACUCAAUUUCAUGCAAUUCUAAACCAUCAAUUCAGAAUUCAAAACUAGAAUGAAGAACCCUAGGAUUUCUAUUUAAAAUUUAAUGACGAUUGUUCAUGGAUUUGCAAUCAAGGUUUAGGGCUAAUGAUCUCUGGGGUGUAAGCUACACAGUGGUAACACGAUUAAGGUGAAAUGAGAAAAAAAGAGUUACCUCCGAAGCGACGAUUUACUCUGGUGAAAUGUUGAAUCGGAGAAGAAGCUUGCAACGAGGAAAUCACUUGAAUUUGAUACGUCUUCAUUUCUAUCUUCUUCUUAUUCCUCCUACUUCUAUUCUUCUUCUACUUUCUGACAUUGAGUGAGCUUCGAAGAACUUGCAAAUACAAUUCUAAGUAUGUUGAUUGUGAGAUUUUGAGUGUGAGUGUGAGUGUGAAUGUGCAAGCAUGAAUCAAAUUGUGAGUGAAACAAGCUAUUUAUGAAGGUUGGAUUAAGCCGAGUUUGAUCUCUAUUAAAUCGUGAUGAUGUGAGUUGGUUAGACAUCUCCAAUCUGUUGACUAAUCCCGUUAGAAAUUAGUUACUAGGAUUCAAAAGUUAGUUAGUUAGUUUUAUGAAAUGGAUUUCGAUUUUGUGAGUUGUCAAAUGAAAUGAACUGUUAGUUAUUUAUUGAUAAGGUUAGCUAGAAAAAUUGUUAGCUGUUAAAUGACUUGUUAGUUAUUAUAGUGAAGCAUGAGUUGUUAAUUGUUUUAGUUAAUUGGUGUUGGUAGUGGAAACAAGUUUUGGUUGAGAGUUAAUUAAAUGAUGGAAAACACAAUGUUAAUUGGAAAUUUAGAAUUGCUAGAUCUAUUGCUAACUGUUAGGUUGAAAUGUUGACUGGUAUGGUUUGUUGUGAUUUUAUUGAAAAAAACCUUGCUGCAAUUAUGAUAGUUUUAUGUUAUGCUUGCUUUACUAUGCUAGGUUAAAAUUGAUGGAGUUGUUAUAUGACAUGAUGAUGCAAUGCAAUGUAGUUGGUAUGGAAAUGAUAUACAGUCUGUUGUAAGGUCACAAGCAGGGCAAUGAUAUGCAGCUAUUUGUAAUGCAUUCUACAGGCCUAUCAUAAUUGCAGCAGGGCAUUCAAUUCAAGUGGGUGGUUUUAAUUUGAGCAUAUGUGCAAGUCAUCAUGUAGGUGUUGCUCCAUGUGAUUUCACUUUGGCAUGGUCCUGUAGUAGGGUGAAUGGUUUCUGAUGUAGCAGAGUUUGUGAAUGGUUCAAACCCAUAGUAUGGUUUGCAUUGCUUCAUGUUUGGAUGAACAUUUGGUCAUGGUUUGCUUUGACUCAUGGAGUGUUCUGACUUGUUCUUGGUUCUGUAGGCAUUACUUAUCAACAUUGCCUCAAUUCUGACCUUGGUGAAGCUGAACUAAAUUAGGCUUCACUCUCUUGUGCUUGGAGUUAUAUCCCCAGCAGAGUCGCCAUCUGUCGCAUCUCGAAAAAGUACGAUUCCUCGCGAUGGUCUCAGAAAAUAUUACGUUCGAACAGAGUCGCCACCGAACUUUAUUUAUCCCAAUAAAGGGAUAAGGAAAUAUCGAUAAAACCUUUAGGAAAUGGAAUAAUGGUCGUCGCAACCAUAUUCGGGUUCGGGAGUGGAUUACGUAAGGGGAAGGUAUUAGCACCCCUUACGUCCGUUGUACUCAACGGGAACCUUUUAGUUCUAAUGUGUGUUUCGAGUGUUAAUUUAUGUUUGUUUGUUA